Molecule: unclassified non-coding RNA, 457 nt
Filed under: uncultured Bordetella sp.
Lineage: Bacteria; Pseudomonadati; Pseudomonadota; Betaproteobacteria; Burkholderiales; Alcaligenaceae
Description: partial 16S-23S ribosomal RNA intergenic spacer
Rfam family: Bacterial small subunit ribosomal RNA
Source: RNAcentral
UGCAGGACGCAGCAGUGGGGAAUUUUGGACAAUGGGGGAAGCCUGAUCCAGCCAUCCCGCGUGUGUGAUGAAGGCCUUCGGGUUGUAAAAAACUUUGGCAGGAAAGAAACGGCGCGGGAUAAUACCCUGCAGCAAACAGUACCUACAGAAUAAGCACCGAUAACUACGUGCCAGCAGCCGCAGUAAUACGUAGGGUGCAAGCGUUAAUCGGAUUACUGGGCGUAAAGAAGCGUGCGCAGGCGGUUCGGAAAGAAAGAUGUAGAAAUCCAGAGCUUAACUUUGGAGUUACAUUUUAACUACCGAGCUGGGUGUCAGAGGGGUGAGAUUCCCGCGUGUAGCAGUGAAAUGCGUGAAUAUGCGGAGGAACACCGAUGGCGAAGGCGACCUCCUGGGAUAACACUGACGCUCAUGCACGAAAGCGUGGGGAGCAAACAGGAUUAGAUACGGGUAGUCCUAG